CAGUGGCGAAAGGGUGAGUAACACGAUCCAACGUGCCCCGAGGUGGGGGAUAGGCAUGGGAAACUGUGCGUAAUACCCCAUAAUCUCCACGGAGCAAAGAUUUAUCGCCUUGGGAGCGGGGAUCGUCCUAUCAGGUAGUUGGCGGGGUAAUGGCCCACCAAGCCGAAGACGGGUAGCAGGUGUGAGAGCACGGCCUGCCACAUCGGGACUGAGACACUGCCCGGACUCCUACGGGAGGCUGCAGCGACGAAUCUUCCGCAAUGGGCGCAAGCCUGACGGAGCGACGCCGCGUGCGGGAUGAAGCGGCUUUGCCGUGUAAACCGCUGUCAGGGGGUCGAAACACUGAUCACCCCCAAAGGAAGGGCCGACUAACCCUGUGCCAGCAGUCGCGGUAAGACAGGGGGCCCGAGCGUUAAUCGGAAUUACUGGGCUUAAAGGGUGCGUAGGCGGACCCGUAAGUGUCGUGUGAAAGCCCACUGCUCAACGGUGGAACGGCACGGCAAACUGCGGGUCUCGAGGAAGGUAGAGGCCGGUGGAACGAUUGGUGGAGCGGUGGAAUGCGUAGAUAUCAAUCGGAACGCCAAAGGUGAAGACAGCCGGCUGGGCCUUUCC
RNAcentral lists this ribosomal RNA (612 nucleotides) under uncultured bacterium. Its description in RNAcentral is "bacterial SSU rRNA". It matches the Rfam family "Bacterial small subunit ribosomal RNA", at positions 93 to 740 of the family's 1533-position model. The record is from RNAcentral.